Molecule: long non-coding RNA, 161 nt
Filed under: Mustela putorius furo (domestic ferret)
Lineage: Eukaryota; Metazoa; Chordata; Mammalia; Carnivora; Mustelidae
Description: lncRNA (ENSMPUG00000024908.1)
Source: RNAcentral
CAGGCAGCCAACAGGGACUGAUGAGCACCCCAGCCCGCCUCACCUUAGGCAGGCACACCCAGGCCUUACCGCACUCACCCUGGUUCCUAACCUCGUUCUCCUGGCUGGAUUCACCAUUGGCAAGAUUCAGUCUCCAGAGCCAGGUGUCUCUUGCUCCUGCU